UUUGCGAACAUGUGCAUUUUCUUGGAAAACGAAUCUGACAUGCCAUGUGCAUCUUGAGAUUUUAACCAGUUAGAGAAAAUUUGACGAGCUUUCAUUUGAGGACGUGUCCCAUCCUUCAAUGAAAAUUAGGGGAGAAGCUGUGUGAGAAAACAUUAACAUUGUUACAUAUGGGAAAUGUAUUAGUGGACUGUACCCAGACUGAUGGAUGUUGACCCUCUAAAAUGUGGAAAUGAGCUUCUACACCAGACAGGAAUUUGUGGAAAAACUUUGAAAAGGCAAGACUGAUGGAUGUUGACCCUCUAAGAUGUGGAAAUGAACAGCCACAGUGAGACAGGAAUUGGUGGAAGCAACUAGAAAAGACAAGACUGAUGGAUGAGCUUCCCAACAGCAAGACUUAACCCUGUGGAGGACUGUCACUGAUCAGUGUGCUUUGAUGACAGUACCCAGUAGAAGACUCAGCUAAAGUCAUGUGGAUGUGCUUGACAUUAUGAAUGACAAGGAGUCCUCAGAAAAUAAAAGUAUUGAGGCAUAUCCUUGUGGUCGCAUGUGGAGAAAGACAAAGAUAGAUGACCAUGUAGAAAGCCAGAUUUGUACACACAAGCAUAUCCAGUUUACGAUGUUAUAAUCCAAAACAAUUUUUUUUGAAACAUUUGUUUUGGAAAUGGGUGUCUGAGUUGUAAGAGGGUAUGGGGUCACCCACUCAGACACGUGGGUUUUCUCCGGGGGCUCCGGUUUCCUCCCACACUGACCCCAUUGUUUUUCUCUGUGCCAAUGUAAAUAUCUUUUAUUAUCUAUUAAUUGUUUUGCUCUAAUGUUAUUUUAUGUAAUUUGUUAUAUUUUAUAUUAUAAAAUGUUUAGAUGAAGUAGUUGAAAGCUAGUUGUAAGUAGACCUUGUCGAUACCCUGGGGCAUUACUGGUUGGAACUUCGUGGAUCCUUGGCCGCUACGGUUGCCAGGCUGGCCUGGGGAGGAGAGGUUGAAAAUGCAACUAGUUGUAGGCUGCUUUGUCUUUAAUAAUCUGUUUUCAUUUUAUCUAAAAUCAUAUAUGUUGCAGAUAUAAUGAUUGUUAAAUAUUAAAUUAGUAUUCUUGGAAUGUACAAAUUCUGUCAGCUACUGUACCAGUAAUAAUUUGCAUAGUAAUUCCGAUUAUUAGCUUAUUGUGAAAUUGAAUGCAUUAUAUACUGACUUAAACUUCAGUAAAAGUAAUUGAUUAUAAAUUUUGAUGUGAAAUUAUGAUUUGUA
Long non-coding RNA from Saccostrea echinata, 1241 nucleotides. RefSeq lists it as uncharacterized. The record is from RefSeq and is a predicted model, not a curated record. The transcript has 3 exons. NCBI's taxonomy places the organism in Eukaryota, Metazoa, Mollusca, Bivalvia, Ostreida, Ostreidae.